This 492-nucleotide ribosomal RNA is filed under the name uncultured bacterium. RNAcentral's name for it is "partial 16S ribosomal RNA". It matches the Rfam family "Bacterial small subunit ribosomal RNA", at positions 29 to 507 of the family's 1533-position model. The record is from RNAcentral.
AGUGAACGCUGGCGGUAGGCCUAACACAUGCAAGUCGAACGGCAGCACAGUAAGAGCUUGCUCUUACGGGUGGCGAGUGGCGGACGGGUGAGGAAUACAUCGGAAUCUACUUUUUCGUGGGGGAUAACGUAGGGAGACUUACGCUAAUACCGCAUACGACCUACGGGUGAAAGCAGGGGAUCUUCGGACCUUGCGCGAUUGAAUGAGCCGAUGUCGGAUUAGCUAGUUGGCGGGGUAAAGGCUCACCAAGGCGACGAUCCGUAGCUGGUCUGAGAGGAUGAUCAGCCACACUGGAACUGAGACACGGUCCAGACUCCUACGGGAGGCAGCAGUGGGGAAUAUUGGACAAUGGGCGCAAGCCUGAUCCAGCCAUACCGCGUGGGUGAAGAAGGCCUUCGGGUUGUAAAGCCCUUUUGUUGGGAAAGAAAAGCAGCAGGUUAAUACCCCGCUGUUCUGACGGUACCCAAAGAAUAAGCACCGGCUAACUUCGUG